Molecule: ribosomal RNA, 379 nt
Filed under: uncultured bacterium
Lineage: Bacteria
Description: bacterial SSU rRNA
Rfam family: Bacterial small subunit ribosomal RNA
Source: RNAcentral
AUUGAACGCUGGCGGCAUGCCUUACACAUGCAAGUCGAGCGCGAAAGGGGGCAACCCCGAGUAGAGCGGCGGACGGGUGAGUAACACAUCGGAACGUGCCCAGUAGUGGGGGACAACCUCGGGAAAUCGAGGCUAAUACCGCAUACGACCCACGGGUGAAAGCGGGGGACCGCAAGGUCUCGCGCUAUUGGAGCGGCCGAUGUCCGAUUAGCUAGUUGGCGGGGUAAGAGCCCACCAAGGCGACGAUCGGUAGCUGGUCUGAGAGGACGACCAGCCACACUGGGACUGAGACACGGCCCAGACUCCUACGGGAGGCAGCAGUGGGGAAUUUUGGACAAUGGGGGCAACCCUGAUCCAGCCAUGCCGCGUGCGGGAAGAA